Molecule: non-coding RNA, 45 nt
Organism: Pongo abelii (Sumatran orangutan)
Lineage: Eukaryota; Metazoa; Chordata; Mammalia; Primates; Hominidae
Source: Rfam
CCAAAGGCUCUUUUCAGAGCCAUCCUCUUUCCUGGCAGGUGAUGG